RNAcentral lists this ribosomal RNA (383 nucleotides) under uncultured bacterium. RNAcentral describes it as "bacterial SSU rRNA". It matches the Rfam family "Bacterial small subunit ribosomal RNA", at positions 355 to 754 of the family's 1533-position model. The record is from RNAcentral.
UGGGGAAUAUUGGACAAUGGGGGCAACCCUGAUCCAGCGAUGCCGCGUGAGUGAAGAAGGCCUUAGGGGUUGUAAAACUCUUUCAGAUGGGAAGAUAAUGGACGGUACCAUCAGAAGAAGUUCCGGCUAACUCCGUGCCAGCAGCCGCGGUAAUACGGAGGGAACUAGCGUUGUUCGGAAUUACUGGGCGUAAAGCGCGCGUAGGCGGCUUGGUAAGUAGAGGGUGAAAUCCCGGAGCUCAACUCCGGAACUGCCCCUAAACUGCCGAGCUAGAAUCCUGGAGAGGUGAGUGGAAUUCCUAGUGUAGAGGUGAAAUUCGUAGAUAUUAGGAAGAACACCAGUGGCGAAGGCGACUCACUGGACAGGUAUUGACGCUGAGGUGC